AUUUAGGAGUGAAGAAGUGAGAACUGACGGAGAAGAUAACCGACUGAUUUUCCAGCAAGAGGGAGAAGACGAAGGGAGAGCUGGCCAGAAAGAGAUAGAGAGAAUUACCGAUGAGGCGGUGAAACGAGCUUGUCGUCAUGAACGUGGCAGCUGUAACAGAAAUUGAGACGGGGAAAGAUGGAGAGUGACGGUGGGGCUAGACAGCUAUGAGCACCGAUGGAAGAGCUGCAAAGUGAGGAAGGGGAAUAGAGAGAGUUUGCUGUCAAAAUUGAGAGAAAUGGAGGGGGGAAAGAGUUGCAGAUGUUGCAAACUAGCGUGAGAGAAAAGAGGGAAAUUGAAGUUCAUUUAGGGGAUUUUAAUUUCUGGGAACAAUACAGAGAGAGGGAUCGAUUAGAAUGGAGGAAAGGAAGUUGUUUCCUUUGUUUGUUGGGCCAAUCUUUUACUAGAAAUUGGGUCAAGUAAAAUAGUUGGGCUAAAGGAUUUCAAAUCUGCACUAUGUAUUAGGAAUUGGGCCAAAGAAAUAAAUGAGAUAGUGUAUGGAAUUUGGGCCAGUAGCUAGGAGCUUCACAGAUUGAAUUAAAGAAUCACAUUGUGGUGAUCGAGUGGGCUGACCUUAUGAUUAACGUACGAGGAUUUCAGAAAUUUCUAAGUAAUGUCGAAGGGGUGAAUUCUUUGGCAAGCUAUUUGAAAACAAAACGGCAGAAAGACGAGUUGAGGAUUUAAGAGAACGAGGUGGGCUUUCUUUUUAAAUAAGGACUAUGUCCUAAGUAUAUUUAUUUUUGUGAAAUAUGUUUCUCAUGCCAUACUUUUGUGUUGCUAUGGGACCUAUCUGAAGUGGCUUUUGCCAUGUAUGGUUAAUCGAAUUCGGGUCUGACUA
Salvia splendens (bonfire salvia) is the source of this 877-nucleotide long non-coding RNA. RefSeq lists it as uncharacterized. The transcript has 3 exons. Lineage: Eukaryota; Viridiplantae; Streptophyta; Magnoliopsida; Lamiales; Lamiaceae. The record is from RefSeq and is a predicted model, not a curated record.